Molecule: unclassified non-coding RNA, 1684 nt
Filed under: Ooceraea biroi (clonal raider ant)
Lineage: Eukaryota; Metazoa; Arthropoda; Insecta; Hymenoptera; Formicidae
Description: uncharacterized LOC113561442, transcript variant X3
Source: RNAcentral
UUUUCCCUUACAUUUUUAAAAACUUCUGUUGCGUCGAAGUUCUAUACAGAUGGGAGAUAUUUUUUUACAUGAUACAUUAAUAGAGAGAUAAAAUAGAACUUUUGUGCUUCCACGAACAGAGAAUGGACAUUAGUCGUUAGGUAAUACUCGACAUGGAUAGUUCGAUAGAAAACGGGCACCAAGAUCUUGAAUGGGCAAUAAAACUAAAUCGUAUCAGUUUGGAGGUGCUUGGAUUAUGGCCUAAAGUUGAGGAAGUUCCUCGGGAAAAAUUAAAGCGCAAUUUGCACGUUCUCGCCAUUUUGCUACUAUUUGUGUUCGGUGUUCUGUUUCCUUGUAUUCAUUCACUAAUAAAGACUCAUGAAGACAUCAUGAUAGUAAUAGAACAUCUGCAAGGUAUCUUACCGAUAAUUACCUGCGUUGUAAGAAUAAUAGUGUUUUGGUGGAAGAAAGAAGUUUGCUUCUCUGAUAUUUUGGAAGACGUUAUACCGAUAAUAAGCAUGAUUACCGAAGAUUGGCUAAAAUCGAGGGAUGUACAAGAAAAAAAAGUGAUGAUUACAUGGGCACAAAAGUCACGCAUAAUUGUUAUAUCCUCAUAUAUUGUAAUGGGAGUAACUUCUGUUUGUGGUGUUCUUCUACCUAUUUUCGGAAUAUCACCAACACACGGAGUGAAUAUUAAUGAUACAGAAAAGAUGUUCCCCCUCAGAGUGUAUUACUUUUACGAUGUAACGAAAAGCCCACAAUACGAACUUACUUAUAUUAGUCUUUCCAUCGGCAUUUUGUUUGCUGCUAUCACAUACACGGGUAUUGAUAAUUUUCUCGGACUAUUAGUGUUUCAUAUUUGCGGCCAAAUAGACAUUCUGAGUACUCGCUUGAUAUAUUUGAAUAAAUUCGUGAAGUUCCAUAAUAGCUUAAAGAAUUGCGUAUGGAAUCACACACGAUUGUUGAGAGCCAUUGCCGUUAUAGAAGAUACAUAUAAUAAGAUGUUACUUGCAUUAUUUUUAUAUUUUGGUAUCCUCUUUGCUUUCUAUGGAUUUUUAAUAAUUAACUUAGUUGAGGAAAGGAAUUAUUUAUCAGUUACACGCAUAUUAAUUCUUAUUUGCCUUGUUAUUACUAUACUUGUUCAUAUGGCUCUCUAUUGCGCUGUCGGUGAAGUUUUAAUCAUUCAAUGCGAUAGAAUGUACCAUGCAAUAUGCAGCCAGAAAUGGUACAACCUGGAUUCAAAAAAAGCCAAAAAUUUGAUCCUUUUAUUGAUCCGAACCAAGGUGUCAUGUUAUAUCACCGCUGGAAAAGUAUUCCCUAUGACAAUGUCUACAUUUUGUAAUAUCUCGAAUGGGCAAUAAAACUAAAUCGUAUCAGUUUGGAGGUGCUUGGAUUAUGGCCGAAAGUUGAGGAAGUCCCUCGGGAAAAAUUAAAGCACAAUUUGCAUGUUCUCUCCAUUUUGCUGAUAUUUGUGCUCAGUAUUCUGUUUCCUUGUAUUCAUUCGCUAGUAAAGACUCACGAAGACAUCAUGAUAAUAAUAGAACAUCUACAAUGUAUUUUACCGAUGAUUACCUGCAUUGUAAGAAUAAUUGUUUUUUGGUGGAAGAAAGAAGACAUCAUACCAAUAAUAAGCAUGAUCACCGAAGAUUGGUUAAAAUCGAGGAAUGUACAAGAGAGAAAUAUGAUGAUUACAUGGGCACAGAGA